GCUAAGGAAAACAAGAAUCCUUAUUUUAACACCUUCAUACAUACACAUUCAUCCUACGAACUCCUUCAAAGGACCGAGAUAGUACAUCAUCUUAAGACUGACGAAAUCAUUACAUAUGCCUUCGUAGGCGAUCGAAACGUCCUUUCCCACUCAACGCAUAUCAUCGAAAGACCUGAAAUAAAUUAAAAAAAAAUGCAAACAUGAGUGUCAAGUUUUAGACUUGAAUUCUGAUGGGAUAAGGAUACCGUUGAACUCGUAACCAUGCAAUACAGAUUCAUUAUUAUUUUUAAUAGGGAAUAAAGUUUUUAACUUUUCUUUAUAGGGGAAUAAAGUUUUUAACUAGAGAUGCUCUUACGAGUUACGCGUGAGAAGCCGAUUUUCCCGGAAACCAGAAAGAAAGAGCAAACCGAGUGGACUCCUCGGUCGGCAAGUCUAUGACCAAAGCCCAACAAGGGCGACGACCACUGCUGUGACUCUUUCGUCUUUCUUCUCCCUUUCCCCACUCGACGCACCCAUAGCCGUCAAGUCUAGGGUUUAGCAGAGCCUGCAGCCGUCUCCCGGCACCACCCGAGCCGCCCAUGGACAUCGACUCCGAACUGUCCGCCGAGAGCAACAAGCCCACCCAGAUGGACCUCGAGGACCAGGCAAGCCGCCGUCUCCGCCGCCGCGGCCGAACUUAUUCUGGGGGAUUUUUCUUUCUUUUUGGGGGUUUUGAAUGUGAUUUUCCGUGCGCAGGCGGACGCGAAGGGGAAGGGGAAGGCCGAUGCAGCGGGAGAGGAGGAAGGGAAGGGGAAGGGGAAUGGCGACGAGCUUGCGGACUCCAUCGGGAGUUUAUCUAUCGGCCCGGGGCGGACCAUUUUCAAGAAAAAGCCGGUGAUCAUCCUUGUCAUCGGCAUGGCCGGUGCGUCGAUUUCGUUUGCCCUAUUCAAUUAUCAUUUUAGUAGAGGACGGAUGGACGACCGAACCUGUGAUAUGCUGAGCUUUUAUUGGGGGAUUUUGGGAUGGGAAGCUUACUGUUUCGGCCUACAAUGUAGGGACGGGGAAGACCACCUUCAUGCACCGUCUGGUGUGUCAUAUGCAGGCAUCAGCGAACAUGAGGGGUUAUGUGCUCAACCUUGACCCUGCGGUGAUGACACUGCCAUUCGGAGCCAACAUUGAUAUCCGCGAUACCGUGCGUUACAAGGAGGUGAUGAAAGAGUACGGACUUGGUCCCAAUGGUGGCAUUCUUACCUCACUCAACCUGUUCUCAACCAAGUUUGACGAGGUACGCAUCUUAUAUGCAUCUCAAAUGUUUGGAAUGGUAAUGUGCACUUUUUAUGUACUCUGUUAGAGUGUUAGGCUAUAAAACUUUCAAGGCAGUACAAACUUACAACCACCCAGUCAAACUGGAUUGUUUCAUUUUUGUGGAUAAUUGAUUCAUGUAAUUCUCCAUCAUUCAAUGUGAACUGUUGCAGAAAUUGUGCUUAAUUUAUGGCGUGAUGUAGAGGUUGUAGAAUAUUAUUUGAUUCUGCUCUGAAUAGUGACAACUUCUUUUUGCAAAAUUGUAUGCUACAUUUAUGGUAUGUGAGACAUCUUUUCCCCCUCUAUCCUGUGCCAUUCAGCUAAUAUAUGUCCAAUAUUCAUCCUUACAGGUUAUAUCUGUUAUUGAAAAGCGAGCAGACCAGCUGGAUUAUGUGCUGGUGGACACCCCAGGGCAGAUUGAAAUCUUUACUUGGUCGGCUUCAGGAGCUAUCAUAACUGAAGCUUUUGCAUCAACAUUUCCAACAGUUGUUGCAUAUGUGGUUGACACCCCCAGGUCGACAAACCCUGUGACCUUUAUGAGCAACAUGAUGUACGCGUGCAGUAUCCUCUACAAGACUCGUUUGCCUCUGGUGCUGACAUUUAAUAAGGUUGAUGUAGCCAAGCACGAGUUUGCUCUUGAGGUGAGUACACCCUUGUGACGAUUUCAGUUUCACUGUUCUUGAUUAUGUACACUGGUAUUGCAUUUAGCUUCUAUCAUGUAUUCACAUUGUGUUGUAUGCAGUGUGUAGGGUUCUCUUUUUGGUAUACUUUUGUCAAUAUGUAACAUUUGAGCUGCCAUGCUGAGCCAUAUGAAUUAGGUUUAUUAAAACAUUUAUAUUAAUCGACAAUACACAAACAUGGCUUUUGUCCAUGAUGUUUCUUCAAUUUUGCUCUUGGUUUACUUUUUUUUCUUCAAAUUUUGGUAACUUGGCCUUCAUUUAUUUGCUGGACCAGUGGAUGCAAGACUUUGAAGCAUUUCAGACAGCUUUGGAUUCUGACUCAUCGUACUCAUCUUCAUUUACCCGGAGUCUCUCUCUUGUGCUGGACGAAUUCUACAAUAACCUACGCUCUGUUGGAGUAUCAGCGGUAUCUGGCACUGGAGUUGAUGCAUUUUUUGAAGCUAUAGAAGCAAGCGCUAAUGAAUACAUGGAGACUUACAGGUCUGCCGCUUAUGAUAUAGUUCUACUAUUGCUGAAUGAAUUGUUGAUACUAAAGAACUAAAGAACUUAUUAGUUGCUAUUGUCUAACAAUUUUAUCAGGGCUGAUCUUGACAAGCGGAUUGCUGAAAAGGAGAGACUAGAAGCUGAGCGUAGGAAUGAGAACAUGGAAAGAUUGAGGAGAGAUAUGGAGAAGUCCAAAGGACAAACUGUGGUGCUCAGCACUGGUUUGAAGGACAAAACCCCUGCCCCAGAAAUGAUGGGGGACGCUGAUGAGGAGGAAGAAGAGGAGGCGUUGGAGGAUUUCAGGAUUUCCGAUGAUGAUGAUGAUGAAGAUGAAGGUGAAGACGAGGAAGUGACUCAUUUUGGCUUUUAAGGUAUUCUAGCGCUUAUCUGUUUAUAAUGUGCUCUGAAGGUGUUCUCGUUGGUUGAAUAUCUUACUGUCAGGAUUAAUGUGCUGGUGCCAUUGGGCAUUCAUUUUAACAUGCAUUAUUGAUUUUGGUAAUUAAUGUGACAUAACCAUGAUUUUUUUUUUGGGUGCGUGUAAAGGUACCUGCUGUUUUCUCAAGGGAUAUAGGAUAUUUAAUAUACAGAUUCACACUCCAUGUGUAGUUUAAUUUGUAAAGUUGAAAUCUGAAUGAGGGUGGUAUUGCACUGCUGUUAUACUAUUGAGAUGGUUUUAUUGCUGUUGAUAAGAUCAGUAGAUCACCAACUCAAGCUGUUAAUUUCCCUGUCAAUGUAAAGGUUUGUUGAUUCAAUUCUGAUCGUAUUAAGCUGUCUUGACAGGUUGAUUGCACUGAACAGGCAUUUACUUGAGGGUGGUGUGUUCAGGAGACCCGGUCCGGAAUUGUGUUUGUUUCCAGGUUAUUACAGUGGAAAUGAAAUGCUGUCGAUAUCACUAGGUGGAUGGCGGCCGUUAGUCUGUAAAUCAACUCGCACUUCGUCAAACUCGCUGCAAUCUCAGUGACUAGGUGGACUGAAUUGUAUUCCCUGAAUGCGAUGUAUGAAUUCUCUUCUUGAUUUGUUUCUGCAAACUUUUUUGAAGAAGGCUAGAGCGGUAAUUUAGUUACUUGAGCAGGCAAAGUCUCAACUUGCUGAGCGAAUGCAUUGGUUGGAUUCCAAGAAGUUUAGCAGUGCCCGUGUUUUUAUAUAUUUAAAAAGAGUUUAUUAGCUACAGCAACAAUGGUUGCAUCAUCCUCCAAAGUUUUUAUGAAAUUACCUAAGGGGGUCAUCAAGCCUACGAGACUACUAAAUCCUCCUUGGCCGGCCAAUGUUCAAAGACGAUCCUACAAUUCAAUCGUCGUUUUUUCGAGGUUGCAUGAAAAAAAGGGGCAAGCUGAGUAGAGCCUGGUUGAGGACAUACAUGCCAAAAUGUGACAUUUGCAUGUGAAUUGGUUACCGG
Molecule: long non-coding RNA, 3840 nt
Filed under: Hordeum vulgare
Lineage: Eukaryota; Viridiplantae; Streptophyta; Magnoliopsida; Poales; Poaceae
Description: long non-coding RNA (HVUL_LNC010408)
Source: RNAcentral